CAUCAGAUGACUGAAAGCAAGUAAUGGUCUCUUAAACCAGUCAAUAGUAAACUAGCGCCUACUUCUGAUGA
RNAcentral lists this transfer RNA (71 nucleotides) under Parcoblatta bolliana. RNAcentral's name for it is "tRNA-Lys". Lineage: Eukaryota; Metazoa; Arthropoda; Insecta; Blattodea; Blattellidae. The record is from RNAcentral.